Long non-coding RNA from Acyrthosiphon pisum (pea aphid), 905 nucleotides. RefSeq lists it as uncharacterized. The transcript has 3 exons. Lineage: Eukaryota; Metazoa; Arthropoda; Insecta; Hemiptera; Aphididae. The record is from RefSeq and is a predicted model, not a curated record.
AAUAAAAUUGGGUAUUUUCAUAUGUUAUAUUAUAUACCGUGUAUGUACGGAAACAUAGGACACUGCCACUCAGUACCAUGAUUAAAGAUUUAAUUGUUAGAUCGGGCUCAGUACUUUCUACAUAUAUUUGUAUUUGGUUUGCAGAACAUACACAAACCGAAUUCAAAAUUAUGUGCAAGGUUUUCUAUAGGUUAGCUGUAGGAUAUUAUUUGUUUACUCACCAAACACAAAUACCUAUACGAAAAUAUGUAAUAUAAUUAUUCAGGAUGGUUGUGCUGUACCAGGAUGCAUAUCAAAUACCGAUUUAGUAGAGGAUGAAAAUAUCAGCUUAUUCCAACCUUCAAUAGAAAAUGUAAAUGAAUGGAGCUCGUCGUUAAAUUUGAAUUUAACUGUAAACAGUUAUGUUUGUGACAGACAUUUUAGACCCGAACAUCUUCUAUAUCCAGAGGUAUUCGUAAAUGGUUCAAUGAAAGUAAUAAAAUGCAGAUUAAAUUCGGCUUUGCCAAUAGCAAUGGAUGCUGAGGAGUAGUAUUGUACAAUCAGACCCUCCUCUGCUGUCGGUUCAAACUGGAAAAAAAUUAAAAUUAAAUGUGUAAUGAUGUUUUUAAGCGCUUAUUUUAAUGAUUUUAAAUGCCAUAACUCCCAAGCCCUGGUUAUAACUAUAAUAAAAUUAAUACUACUUUAUUACUUAUAUCAUUAAGUUAAGAUUGGCAUAUCAAAUGAGUAGAUAAGAUUUGACUUGCCGCUAACAUGAUUUAUACACAUAUAUUUAUAUUUUAUUAUUAUUUUUUUUUAUUUUCAAUAUUACAUCUAUAUACAUUUAAUAAACUAUUUAUACCAUAUGAUGAACAAUAUAUAAUGUUAUAUUUCACAUAAUAUACAGUGGUGCUGAGUUCAGUUAAAAA